RNAcentral lists this long non-coding RNA (1369 nucleotides) under Olea europaea subsp. europaea. Lineage: Eukaryota; Viridiplantae; Streptophyta; Magnoliopsida; Lamiales; Oleaceae. The record is from RNAcentral.
CGCAGAACAAACAUGUAAAUAAUAUGAAUCAGUUUAUGAAAUCAAAUCAUAAUUAAAAGAAAUCAGAAAAUGAAGGAAAAAAGAUGCAAGUGAUGAAUUUGGCUGAGACAAGUGUUUGGCACUGUUUUCUUAAGAUGAAUUUGCCCCGCAUCGGUGCUAACUAUAUUUCGACAAUCAUCUCCCAAGAUACAACGAUCACGUCAAGCCAUAGGAGCACUCCAAAUGGCUUCGACUAACGAACUCGAACGAAAUUCUCUCUCUCUACCAUAACAAUGAUUUUGAUGCAAAAGAUAAUCAGUUCUACAAAGUGUUUUAUGUAACUUAACAUGAAAUGAAUAAUAUGGAAUUAUGGAAUGAAUUGGAAUGACAAAUACACAUCCAAGGGGUCCUAUAUAUGCAACACUUCAUUUCAAAAAGUUGCAACACUUUAUUCUUUCAAAUUUGGACCGCAAUUUCUCAUUCAUCUGGAAUUGAUUUCGAGAUUCCAAAUAUACCACAACGAUCUACUUGACAAGUAGAAUAAGUUGGUCUAUUUACUUUUGUAAUUUGAACAUAUAAUCAAGUCCGAACAUUCGACCGAAGUUGACACGAAGUCACACUUUUUUAUUUUCCCAGUUUUAAACUUAAACAAUUUUGGGUUAAUUUUUGAACCAAUUCCAACAUUUCUGUCAUUGCCAGCAAUGUUGUCCUUGAUUUUGAACAUUCUUUUAACCAACAGAGAAUCAUUUUUCCUUUUCGUUCAAUCCAAAAUGUCAUUCCCUUGGAGGUAGAUUUGGUUAACCCAUUUAACCCAUAAUGUAUCCUUCUUAGCAUGAGUAUUCGAAAGAAUUUUAGCUAGCAGAGCUGGAUUCCAACUUUUUAUAUCUCUAAAGCCAAGGCCUCCCUCCACCUCUGACAAGCAAAUGGUACUCUAUAGAACCAACGACUUUUUGGUACACCAAAGAAAAUUCCGACAAAGCUUCACAAUUGUCGAUGCUACUGUAGAAGGAAUAGGAAAUAAAGAGAGCCAAAAACACUUUACACCUUGUAGCACAGCUCUAAUAAGUUUUACCCUACCCACAUAAGAUAGUAAGGACCUUGUCCAAGCACAAAUGUAAGCUGAAACUUUUUCAAGAUGCACUUCAUAUUAUCUGAUUUUUAGUUUCUUGGCCACAAGUGGGAUAACCAAAUAUCGAAACGGAAUAUAACCCUUCAGAAUGUAGGCCAUUGCAACGAUAUCCUGCAAUUCUUGCCCAUGAAUACUUGUUGUAUACAAGCUAGAUUUGCUAGCAUUCAAUCUAAGUCUCGAUACUUCUCCAAACUUAGAAAGACAAUUCAUAAAAAUCCUAACUGAGAUAUAAUCACCUCUAGCAAAGAGCAUCAAAUCAUC